This 506-nucleotide ribosomal RNA is filed under the name uncultured bacterium. Its description in RNAcentral is "bacterial SSU rRNA". It matches the Rfam family "Bacterial small subunit ribosomal RNA", at positions 31 to 518 of the family's 1533-position model. The record is from RNAcentral.
GAACGCUGGCGGCGUGCUUAACACAUGCAAGUCGAACGCGAAAGGGGACUUCGGUCCUGAGUAAAGUGGCGCACGGGUGAGUAACGCGUGGAUAAUCUGCCCUUAUGAUCGGGAUAACAGUUGGAAACGGCUGCUAAUACCGGAUACGCUCAAAAUGAACUUUUUGAGGAAAGAUGGCCUCUGCUUGCAUGCUAUCACGUAAGGAUGAGUCCGCGUCCCAUUAGCUUGUUGGCGGGGUAACGGCCCACCAAGGCAACGAUGGGUAGCCGAUUUGAGAGGAUGAUCGGCCACACUGGAACUGAAACACGGUCCAGACUCCUACGGGAGGCAGCAGUGGGGAAUAUUGCGCAAUGGGCGAAAGCCUGACGCAGCGACGCCGCGUGAGGGAUGAAAGGUUUUCGGAUCGUAAACCUCUGUCAGAAGGGAAGAAACUACGUUGUGCUAAUCAGCAGCGUACUGACGGUACCUUCAAAGGAAGCACCGGCUAACUCCGUGCCAGCAGCUGC